Molecule: ribosomal RNA, 249 nt
Filed under: uncultured bacterium
Lineage: Bacteria
Description: partial 16S ribosomal RNA
Rfam family: Bacterial small subunit ribosomal RNA
Source: RNAcentral
UUUGAUGGCGACCGGCGCACGGGUGAGUAACACGUAUCCAACCUGCCGAUGACUCGGGGAUAGCCUUUCGAAAGAAAGAUUAAUACCCGAUGGCAUAGUUCUUCCGCAUGGUAGAACUAUUAAAGAAUUUCGGUCAUCGAUGGGGAUGCGUUCCAUUAGGUUGUUGGCGGGGUAACGGCCCACCAAGCCUUCGAUGGAUAGGGGUUCAGAGAGGAAGGUCCCCCACAUUGGAACUGAGACACGGUCCAA